CUACGGGGUGCAGCAGUUGGGAAUAUUGCGCAAUGGGGGAAAUCCUGACGCAGCGACGCCGUGUGAGCGAAGAAGGCCUUCGGGUUGUAAAGCUCUGUCAGAAGGGAAGAAAGCAUAGGUGAAGAGCCCAUGUUGACGGUACCUUCAGAGGAAGCACCGGCUAACUCUGUGCCAGCAGCCGCGGUAAUACAGAGGGUGCAAGCGUUGUUCGGAAUCACUGGGCGUAAAGAGUUCGUAGGCGGACCAAUUAGUAUGGGGUUAAAGACCGGGGCCCAACCUCGGAGUUGCUCUGUAACGGGUUGGUCUAGAGUACUGGAGAGGAUAGCAGAAUUCCUGGUGUAGAGGUGAAAUUCGUAGAUAUCAGGAGGAAUACCAGAGGCGAAGGCGGCUAUCUGGCCAGGCAUUGACGCUAAAGAACGAAAGCGUGGGGAGCAAACAGGAUUAGAUACCCGAGUAGUC
This 459-nucleotide ribosomal RNA is filed under the name uncultured bacterium. RNAcentral's name for it is "partial 16S ribosomal RNA". It matches the Rfam family "Bacterial small subunit ribosomal RNA", at positions 339 to 795 of the family's 1533-position model. The record is from RNAcentral.